Molecule: ribosomal RNA, 253 nt
Filed under: uncultured bacterium
Lineage: Bacteria
Description: partial 16S ribosomal RNA
Rfam family: Bacterial small subunit ribosomal RNA
Source: RNAcentral
UACGUAGGGGGCAAGCGUUGUCCGGAAUCAUUGGGCGUAAAGCGCGUGUAGGCGGCUCGAUAAGUCUGCUGUGAAAGUCCAGGGCUCAACCCUGGGAUGCCGGUGGAUACUGUCGAGCUCGAGUCCGGAAGAGGCGAGUGGAAUUCCUGGUGUAGCGGUGAAAUGCGCAGAUAUCAGGAGGAACACCAAUGGCGAAGGCAGCUCGCUGGGACGGUACUGACGCUGAGGAGCGAAAGCGUGGGUAGCGAACAGG